Molecule: transfer RNA, 72 nt
Filed under: Ardenticatena maritima
Lineage: Bacteria; Bacillati; Chloroflexota; Ardenticatenia; Ardenticatenales; Ardenticatenaceae
Also listed under: 1 other name
Description: filamentous thermophilic bacterium 110S tRNA
Rfam family: tRNA
About the family: Transfer RNA (tRNA) molecules are approximately 80 nucleotides in length. Their secondary structure includes four short double-helical elements and three loops (D, anti-codon, and T loops).
Source: Rfam by way of RNAcentral
GCCCCCGUAGCUCAGUGGAUAGAGCACCGGCCUCCGGAGCCGGGUGCGCAGGUUCGAGUCCUGCCGGGGGUA